RNAcentral lists this ribosomal RNA (256 nucleotides) under uncultured bacterium. Its description in RNAcentral is "partial 16S ribosomal RNA". It matches the Rfam family "Bacterial small subunit ribosomal RNA", at positions 524 to 776 of the family's 1533-position model. The record is from RNAcentral.
UACGUAGGUGGCAAGCGUUGUCCGGAAUUAUUGGGCGUAAAGGAUGCGUAGAUGGUUCAGUAAGUUACUGGUGGGAAAUCGAGGCCCAACCUCGUGGAAGUUAGUAAUACUGUUGAACUUGAGUGCAGGAGAGGUUAACGGAACUCCAUGUGUAGCGGUAAAAUGCGUCGAUAUAUGGAAGAACACCAAUAACGGCGAAGGCAGUUAACUAUUCUGCUACUGACAUUGAGGCACGAAAGCGUGGGGAGCAAAACGG